RNAcentral lists this ribosomal RNA (751 nucleotides) under Planctomycetota bacterium. RNAcentral describes it as "bacterial SSU rRNA". It matches the Rfam family "Bacterial small subunit ribosomal RNA", at positions 1 to 748 of the family's 1533-position model. The record is from RNAcentral. Lineage: Bacteria; Pseudomonadati; Planctomycetota.
UGAAGGGUUUGAUCCUGGCUCAGAGUGAACGCUAGCGGCGUGGAUUAGGCAUGCAAGUCGAGCGCGAAAGUCGACAAAGGAUCUCUUCGGAGUGACUGCGUAGACGAGUAGAGCGGCAAAAGGGUGAGUAAUACAUGGCGAACGUACCCCUUACUUUGGAAUAACUUCUGGAAACGGAAGCUAAUGCCGAAUAGUCCCAUAAGAGCGCAUGCUCCAAUGGGUAAAGUUUUUUCGGUGAGGGAGCGCGUCAUGCGCUAUCAGCUAGUUGGUGAGGUAAAAGCUCACCAAGGCAAAGACGGCUAGGUGAUCUGAGAGGAUGGUCACCCACAUCGGGACUGAGACACUGCCCGGACUCCUACGGGAGGCUGCAGUCGAGAAUCAUCCGCAAUGGGCGAAAGCCUGACGGUGCGACGCCGCGUGAGGGAUGAAGGCCUUAGGGUCGUAAACCUCUUUCGCCUGGUAAGAAUACAAUUGACGUAAACAGGUAAAGAAGCACCGGCUAACUCCGUGCCAGCAGCCGCGGUAAGACGGAGGGUGCAAGCGUUACUCGGAAUUACUGGGCGUAAAGGGUCCGUAGGCGGCCUGGAAAGUUGGAUGUGAAAUCCCACAGCUUAACUGUGGAACUGCGUCCAAAACUAUCAGGCUAGAGGAUGGUAGGGGACAGUGGAACUCAAGGUGGAGCGGUGAAAUGCGUAGAGAUCUUGAGGAACGCCGGUGGCGAAAGCGACUGUCUGGGCCAUUCCUGACGCUG